CAUCGUCACGUCAUAAACUCCAUGAACACCCAUCAAUAUCAGCAUGACCAGCGUGGUGGAAAACAGCGCUAGAAUAUCUUCCAGAGAUGAACACUGUACACACACGCAGUGAGCUCCAAAGCCUCAGAUGUUCUCCCAAGGACUCAAAUUCAAUCAGGAAUGAGCUUCUUCCCAGCCAUUCCCAGGCGUUCUAUAGUUGCCAUGGUGCCAAGUGGCAGCUUAGGCAGAGCUCAAUGACCCGAGAGAAAGCUAUGUAUGUAGAGUUGGCAGUGGGCCAGGGGUUUCAUUGCUCAGGGGGAUAAUUCUGAAGUAAGGACUGAGUGAGCUGUACUCUUUGGGGAGAAAACUUCACCACAGAGUCUCAAUACAGAGAAGACGGCAGAGAGGCUUGGAUGACAUGAAGCUGCCUGCCUGCGCUUGGACAUGCUGACCUGACCACCACCACCUCCGACCACCACCUCUGCUGACCAUCUAGCUAUGAGCUUCCAGAUCCUCUCAUGACCGCGGCUGCACAUCUGGAAGCUUCAAGAAGUACUCAGACAGACUUGAUCUAGCUGAUCUAGCUACUGUUGUAGCCUGUAUUUUCCUCAACAUUUAAACAUUUAGAUUUUAUGGUAACGUCUUAAUAAUCUAAAUGUGUUUCUUGUAUGUGUUACUGCAACUCUGCUUUAAGCUGCCAUAGUACACAUGAAAGGAAAUUCAAAUAUACCAUCAUCAUCAUCAUCAUUCCUUGCUUGGAAAACACAUGUUGUUUUAAUAACAACAAUAAACUCGUAUUUCUGAUCAUUAUGUAGUUAUCCAGAUCAGUUCACAAAUGUACUGUGGCCAAGAUUCAAGUAAAGGUGUGUUGUGGAUGCACUGUCUACAGUUGGUCCCAGGCCUCCCACAGUGAAAAAAAUGAAAUUCACUACUGUCAUACUUCACUAUUCACUACUGCAGUUCAGCUUUAAGCUGCCAUAGUACACAUGAAAGGAAAUUAAAAUCUACCAUUAUCAUCAAAUUGCAAGCCGAAAUCUACCGCUCAGAUUAUUAAAAAAAAAAAAAAAAACAUUACUUUAAAAAACUUAAGCCUGUGUGAAAUUAACUAUUCAACACAGUACUGUAGUAAUGAGGAUUGUGCAGUAGGCUAUAGGCCCAAUACAUUAUCACCACAUAUUGGCUUUGCUUGAAUUGACCUGCCAUUGCAUUGUUGUUCUUCUCACACCAUUUCCAAAUUAUAUUUAAAAACCUGAGCUAGGACCUACACAUUAUGAUCACACUAGUCAUAGAUUCUUGUAUUACAUGUGAGGCACAACUGAGUGAGCAAACAUUUAAAUGAUGUUUGUAUUGGUUCACUGGGCUGAUGGUGCCUGUAUCUGAUGGUCAGCCUCAGUGGAGGGAGGGAGAGAGCAGCAGAGGGUCUGACUCCUACCGUCCCUACACUCUCCCUUCCUCUGCUGAGACUGACCAAAGAGGGGACACUGUCUUCCAGCAUCCAGCUGACGGCAAAACUCAAGUCACACCGCAUUAUUUCUACCCCUUUCUGCACAAAUUGAUGACUCUCUAUGACUAGAGAAAGUGAACUAUUCCUCGAUAUUAAAGGGAUACUUCAGGAUUUUGGCAAUGGAGCCCUUUAUCUACUUCCCCAGAUUCAGAUGAACUCAUGGAUACCAUUGUUAUGUCUCUGUGUGCAGUUUGAAGGAUGCUGCUAACUAGCAUUAGCGCAAUCGCUAACUAGUGUUAACGCAAUGACUAUGGUAACUGCUAGCAUGCUAGUAGAUACCAUAGACUUCAAGUCAUUGCGCUAACGCUAGCUAACAUUGGCUCACAAAACUCCCUCUCACUUAUUGCAUGCUGGAUGCAGCGACAUACAAAUGGUAUCCGUGAGUUUAUCUGACUCUGGGGAAGUACAUAAAGACUUAAUUGUCAAAUCCAGAAGUAGCCCUUUUAAAAAGACACAAGCUGCAAAUAAUCACAACUCAAGCCUUUCAAUACACUUCACUACUCAUUCAUUGCAGCUUCAGUGCUGGUUGAAGAGUGAGUGGAAGUAGUUUAAUGGCAUAUAAAAGUGUUGAAUAAAGUGUUGACAGUGCUGAA
Long non-coding RNA from Salvelinus namaycush (lake trout), 2076 nucleotides. RefSeq lists it as uncharacterized. The record is from RefSeq and is a predicted model, not a curated record. The transcript has 3 exons. Lineage: Eukaryota; Metazoa; Chordata; Actinopteri; Salmoniformes; Salmonidae.